This is a long non-coding RNA of Cucurbita maxima (winter squash), 121 nucleotides long. RefSeq lists it as uncharacterized. The transcript has 3 exons. NCBI's taxonomy places the organism in Eukaryota, Viridiplantae, Streptophyta, Magnoliopsida, Cucurbitales, Cucurbitaceae. The record is from RefSeq and is a predicted model, not a curated record.
AUAGAGUAUGAAUGAUUUGAAUUAGUUACUACAGAAGAGAAGGAGGAGAUUAAUUCAAUUCCAUCCACAAAAUUCUCAACCAACUCCGGGAAUUCUCCCUAUAAAAGGACCUCCCUCCCCA